GAAAUGAGAUGCCUCAAAAAGAAGCUGCUAACUUCUUUUUUUAGCGGUUUAAUUCCGUUUACAUUUCA
Molecule: transfer RNA, 68 nt
Filed under: Capnia zijinshana
Lineage: Eukaryota; Metazoa; Arthropoda; Insecta; Plecoptera; Capniidae
Description: tRNA-Ser
Source: RNAcentral